This 253-nucleotide ribosomal RNA is filed under the name uncultured bacterium. RNAcentral's name for it is "partial 16S ribosomal RNA". It matches the Rfam family "Bacterial small subunit ribosomal RNA", at positions 524 to 776 of the family's 1533-position model. The record is from RNAcentral.
UACGGAGGGUGCAAGCGUUAUCCGGAUUCACUGGGUUUAAAGGGUGCGUAGGUGGGCAGGUAAGUCAGUGGUGAAAUCUCCGGGCUUAACCCGGAAACUGCCAUUGAUACUAUCUGUCUUGAAUACCGUGGAGGUGAGCGGAAUAUGUCAUGUAGCGGUGAAAUGCUUAGAUAUGACAUAGAACACCAAUUGCGUAGGCAGCUAACUAGGCUGUAACUGACGCUGAGGCACGAAAGCGUGGGGAGCGAACAGG